Dermacentor andersoni is the source of this 466-nucleotide non-coding RNA. The record is from RefSeq and is a predicted model, not a curated record. Lineage: Eukaryota; Metazoa; Arthropoda; Arachnida; Ixodida; Ixodidae.
CGUGGAACGCACAAGAGCGCCCUCUUGGUAGAACUACAAGAUGUACCUGCAUUACCUGCAUGGCGCGGAUUUCCGCCUUGGGCGCGUGGAGCGGCCACCUCCCUACGAGGCUCUGUGGACACACUGCUCCAAGCUUCUCUGCUCUGCGCCGAAGCAUCACAUUCACGCGGUCUGCUAUGACAGAUGAACGCCUGCCGGGCAUCCUGCUGAUGAGCGCAUACACAGAGCGAUGGGCACUGACGGGGAUGAAACCGUGUUCACCAGGACAAAUCGCCGCAACGUGUUUAAGAGGCAAAACUGACACAGAGCUGCAUUAUUGCUGUCUCUGUGCCUCAGGAAAUCAGUAGCGUCGGGGCCAGCGCAGAAGUCAAGAUGCAUACUGGAAUGCCGCCGCUUCUUGUUUAAAAAAGAAAUGUGCCUCUAGAACGCCCACUGGGACGCGAAUAAAGUUAUUAUUCUUAUCGUU